Molecule: ribosomal RNA, 253 nt
Filed under: uncultured bacterium
Lineage: Bacteria
Description: partial 16S ribosomal RNA
Rfam family: Bacterial small subunit ribosomal RNA
Source: RNAcentral
UACGGAGGGUGCAAGCGUUAUCCGGAUUCACUGGGUUUAAAGGGUGCGUAGGCGGGCAGGUAAGUCCGUGGUGAAAUCUCUGAGCUUAACUCAGAAACUGCCAUGGGUACUAUUUGUCUUGAAUAUUGUGGAGGUAAGCGGAAUAUGUCAUGUAGCGGUGAAAUGCUUAGAUAUGACAUAGAACACCAAUUGCGAAGGCAGCUUACUACACAGUUAUUGACGCUGAGGCACGAAAGCGUGGGGAUCAAACAGG